CAGCUGGAGUGGAAAAGAUCAAUUAACCAGCCUCUUAUCAGAGUAAUGCUGCCUGUGCUGCUCAGAGCUGCUCUGCUGGCCAUGGGGGCCCCUGAACAUCAAUGAUGUCGCUCACCACUCCAGUGUCUCUGCCCCACAUUCUCUGAGCAGGUGCUGGUUCCUCUGACGUCCGGCAUUCCACUAGGAGUAAAACCACCAUCAGAACAUGGGCAUAGCCAUUCAGAGCCAGCAUCUCUACUCAGUUUCACCACAGUUGGCAGGAAUCUAUGGCCCAUACGUUGAAGCAGACAAGGGGGUCGGCACCACCAUGUUGAGUGAUGGACAUGUGACAAAAUUACCGUAUUUACUGAGGGACAUUGGGGGAGGAGGGGUUUGUCAUUCAGUGACUUCAUUUUUUGAAAAAUUACCACGGACCUCAACGUUUUUACCACGGACACUUGUAUCCAUGUACGGAGACCUUGCUGACCCCUGUUUUUUUGUAAUACACAGAUUUUAUGCUUGAAGCAUUGCCUCUUGGAGGUGCACAUAGGUGGUCUGUAGUUUUCCCAGAUUACUGACUGGGGCUUGAGCUGAUUCUAUUUUGUAUAGUAAAGAGGACCCCCUAGAUAUGAACCCGGCCCUUCUUGCUGCUGACACCACUUGGUAGAAGUUUUAAAUGUCCCAAGCAAUGUGGCUUCCAUCACUUCUCUAGUAAGGUUUCACUGAGUGAAACACAGGUUGUUUUCCAUAAUGGGCAGCCUAAAUUCUCCCUGUCUUAAUUCCAUCCUGUUAUUCCCAUUCAUUGCCCACUGAUCACCCCAAAUACUUCACAUUCCUUACUUCUUACACCCUUUAAGUGUUUGCAGACAUUAUCAUUUAAUGCCUUGGUUAUCUCUUAGUCAAGAUAUACUGUACAUAGUUACCUCCUUAAUCAUUUUUUAAAAGUCAGUCCUGCCAGACUCUCUUCUUCUGCAAUGUUAAGAGGAAUAACUAAUAAUCGUUACCUGUCUUUUAGAAAUAGCUAUGAUAGAUCAAUAGAUGAAACAGAGUGCAGCUUAGUAGUUUGUAAAGCACUUUGAGAAGGAAGAGGCUUAGAAAUGCAAAGUAUUAAUCUCCUACAGAAUGCAUGGAAUGCUACUUCUUCAGCUGUGAUUUGAUGUAGCAGGGCUUAGUGCUGGCUAUACCAUAUUUUGCUAUAAUAAAUGCACGCCAUCAAAAAUUGGAUCUAAAAUA
This is a long non-coding RNA of Mauremys reevesii (Reeves's turtle), 1212 nucleotides long. RefSeq lists it as uncharacterized. The transcript has 4 exons. The record is from RefSeq and is a predicted model, not a curated record. NCBI's taxonomy places the organism in Eukaryota, Metazoa, Chordata, Testudines, Geoemydidae.